CAUGCAAGUCGAACGAAGUAGCAAUACUUAGUGGCAGACGGGUGAGUAACAUGUAGGUAUCUGCCCUUUGGCCUGGAAUAACACGAGGAAACUUGUGCUAAUACCGGAUAAGUCUUUACGGAGAAAGCUUUAUGCACCAUUGGAUGAGCCUGCACUUGAUUAGUUUGUUGGUGGGGUAAUGGCCUACCAAGACUGUGAUCAAUAGCUGAUUUGAGAGGAUGAUCAGCCACAUUGGGACUGAGACACGGCCCAAACUCCUACGGGAGGCAGCAGUGGGGAAUCUUGCACAAUGGAGGAAACUCUGAUGCAGCGAUGCCGCGUGAGUGAAGAAGGCCUUUGGGUUGUAAAGCUCUUUCGUCGGGGAAGAAAAUGACUGUACCCGAAUAAGAAGGUCCGGCUAACUUCGUGCCAGCAGCCGCGGUAAUACGAAGGGACCUAGCGUAGUUCGGAAUUACUGGGCUUAAAGAGUUCGUAGGUGGUUGAAAAAGUUAGUGGUGAAAUCCCAGAGCUUAACUCUGGAACUGCCAUUAAAACUUUUCAGCUAGAGUAUGAUAGAGGAAAGCAGAAUUUCUAGUGUAGAGGUGAAAUUCGUAGAUAUUAGAAAGAAUACCAAUUGCGAAGGCAGCUUUCUGGAUCAUUACUGACA
Molecule: ribosomal RNA, 646 nt
Filed under: uncultured bacterium
Lineage: Bacteria
Description: bacterial SSU rRNA
Rfam family: Bacterial small subunit ribosomal RNA
Source: RNAcentral